AGCAUAGUUUUACCUGUUAAAUUAUUAUCAUUAUUAGUAUUUGUUUUCGAACAACGGGUGCACGCGUAACACGAUAUUUAUUCGGACGUUAUUAAAACGUCCACACACACCCCGGAAUAUUGUCUGGGGAAAACGGGUGCGUGUGUCGCACGCGAGUUUACUACGGCGACGAAACCCGGAUGAGGGGGCGAAACGGAAGAAAACGAGAGUCGACAAAACGGCGU
Cinara cedri is the source of this 224-nucleotide non-coding RNA. The record is from the annotation of a GenBank genome assembly. NCBI's taxonomy places the organism in Eukaryota, Metazoa, Arthropoda, Insecta, Hemiptera, Aphididae.